GUGGGGAAUUUUGGACAAUGGGCGCAAGCCUGAUCCAGCAAUGCCGCGUGCAGGAAGAAGGCCUUCGGGUUGUAAACUGCUUUUGUACGGAACGAAACGGCUCUGGUUAAUACCCGGGGCUAAUGACGGUACCGUAAGAAUAAGCACCGGCUAACUACGUGCCAGCAGCCGCGGUAAUACGUAGGGUGCGAGCGUUAAUCGGAAUUACUGGGCGUAAAGCGUGCGCAGGCGGUUUUGUAAGACAGGCGUGAAAUCCCCGGGCUCAACCUGGGAAUGGCGCUUGUGACUGCAAAGCUGGAGUGCGGCAGAGGGGGAUGGAAUUCCGCGUGUAGCAGUGAAAUGCGUAGAUAUGCGGAGGAACACCGAUGGCGAAGGCAAUCCCCUGGGCCUGCACUGACGCUCAUGCACGAAAGCGUGGGGAGCAAACAGGAUUAGAUACCCGUGUAGUCC
This 450-nucleotide ribosomal RNA is filed under the name uncultured bacterium. Its description in RNAcentral is "partial 16S ribosomal RNA". It matches the Rfam family "Bacterial small subunit ribosomal RNA", at positions 354 to 796 of the family's 1533-position model. The record is from RNAcentral.